This 26-nucleotide small RNA is filed under the name Bombyx mori (domestic silkworm). Its description in RNAcentral is "piRNA piR-bmo-1620958". The record is from RNAcentral. Lineage: Eukaryota; Metazoa; Arthropoda; Insecta; Lepidoptera; Bombycidae.
AGGACGCGAUUAGGUGUAAACGUUUG